UGAGAUGGGUAAUUGUGUAAGUAUUGUUUUGCUGAGUAUCUGUGAAAUGUCACCUGGCUAUUGUGUUUUGAUAUUGGCCUGUUAUUGAAAGCAUAUUGAAGUUUCUUUAGAUAAUACUAAGUAUCCUCUGAUGGCUAUCUGUACGAUGCUAAGUUCUUAGUUUAUUCUUGUUUUCUUCACUUGGAAACAUUUUGUAUAUCUUUAAGAUUACCUUCUGAGUAUUUUUCAUGGACGAUGGACUUGACCUGUUGUUGACGCCUACAGCUUACAACAUUAUGCAAUUUAUUUUCAACAAUUCACAACAUGGUAGUAUUUAAAGGAAACGUGGAACUGCCUUUUGUCUUUGCCUUUUAUGCUAGCAGGCAACAUGUUAGUUGUAUGGUGUAUGUGUUGAGUGACACCAGAACAGAGGUAUAGGAGAAGUUUUCAUCUAUGAGCUUCCGGCUCGUUUCGUCUUCACUAUCUACGAUCUUCAUUUUGUCUUCGGUUUCGGAAAGGAGGAUAUGCCACCAUUUUUGCUGUUCAUAAAUAGAAACGACACCUAAAGGUAUUUAGUCCUAAUACUUAUUCAAAUUUCAUUUGAUUGUGUGGAAUGCGUUUUAAUUUAGCGUUUGAUUGGUUUCAAUUAGCGUUGCUUCGAUUUUUUUUAUGGGAAUGAGCGUGUUGGCUUCGUGCUCCAGCAUAAGUCUUUUUUUGCCUGUUCACUCAUCUAAUGUUAAUUGUAAUAUAUUCUUGGUUUAUUUGAGGCUGAAUAAUUAGGGUUUUGUUAGAAUCUUUGAAUUUUGAAAACAGAUUUAGAGGAUGUUUUUAGAUUUUUCAUAUGGAUGUGACCACGCCGCGGAAAUUUGCCUUC
This 853-nucleotide long non-coding RNA is filed under the name Agrilus planipennis (emerald ash borer). RNAcentral describes it as "uncharacterized LOC108744779, transcript variant X3". Lineage: Eukaryota; Metazoa; Arthropoda; Insecta; Coleoptera; Buprestidae. The record is from RNAcentral.